ACUCCUACGGGAGGCAGCAGUCGGGGAAUAUUUGCACAAUGGGGGAAACCCUGAUGCAGCCAUGCCGCGUGUGUGAAGGAAGGCCUUCGGGUUGUAAAGCACUUUCAGUAGGGAGGAAGGUAGUGUAGUUAACACCUGCAUUCAUUUGACGUUAGCUGCAGAAGAAGCACCGGCUAACUCCGUGCCAGCAGCCGCGGUAAUACGGAGGGUGCGAGCGUUAAUCGGAAUUACUGGGCGUAAAGCGCAUGCAGGCGGCCUGUUAAGUCAGAUGUGAAAGCCCGGGGCUUAACCUCGGAAUUGC
This 301-nucleotide ribosomal RNA is filed under the name uncultured bacterium. RNAcentral describes it as "bacterial SSU rRNA". It matches the Rfam family "Bacterial small subunit ribosomal RNA", at positions 335 to 624 of the family's 1533-position model. The record is from RNAcentral.